Molecule: ribosomal RNA, 557 nt
Filed under: uncultured bacterium
Lineage: Bacteria
Description: bacterial SSU rRNA
Rfam family: Bacterial small subunit ribosomal RNA
Source: RNAcentral
ACGGGUGAGUAACGCGUGGGAAUCUACCCAUCUCUACGGAAUAACGCAUGGAAACGUGUGCUAAUACCGUAUACGUCCUUCGGGAGAAAGAUUUAUCGGAGAUGGAUGAGCCCGCGUUGGAUUAGCUAGUUGGUGGGGUAAAGGCCUACCAAGGCGACGAUCCAUAGCUGGUCUGAGAGGAUGAUCAGCCACACUGGGACUGAGACACGGCCCAGACUCCUACGGGAGGCAGCAGUGGGGAAUAUUGGACAAUGGGCGCAAGCCUGAUCCAGCCAUGCCGCGUGAGUGAUGAAGGCCCUAGGGUUGUAAAGCUCUUUCACCGGUGAAGAUAAUGACGGUAACCGGAGAAGAAGCCCCGGCUAACUUCGUGCCGGCAGCCGCGGUAAUACGGAGGGGGCUAGCGUUGUUCGGAUUUACUGGGCGUAAAGCGCACGUAGGCGGACUAUUAAGUCAGGGGUGAAAUCCCGGGGCUCAACCCCGGAACUGCCUUUGAUACUGGUAGUCUUGAGUUCGAGAGAGGUGAGUGGAAUUCCGAGCGUAGAGGUGAAAUUCGUAGA